RNAcentral lists this non-coding RNA (207 nucleotides) under Neonectria ditissima. Its description in RNAcentral is "Eukaryotic large subunit ribosomal RNA". It matches the Rfam family "Eukaryotic large subunit ribosomal RNA", at positions 1173 to 1379 of the family's 3401-position model. Lineage: Eukaryota; Fungi; Ascomycota; Sordariomycetes; Hypocreales; Nectriaceae. The record is from Rfam by way of RNAcentral.
UGCGAACCAUUUGCGGCUUCGAGAGCCGCUCAUCAGACACCACAAAAGGUGUUAGUAUAUGUUGACAGCAGGACGGUGGCCAUGGAAGUCGGAAUCCGCCAAGGACUGUGUAACAACUCACCUGCCGAAUGUACUAGCCCUGAAAAUGGAUGGCGCUCAAGCGUCUCACACAUACCUCGCCCUCAGGGUAGAAACGAUGCCCUGAGG